CUACCAUGGCUAUCAUGGGUAACGGAGAAUUAGGGUUCGAUUCCGGAGAGGGAGCCUGAGAAACGGCUACCACAUCUACGGAGGGCAGCAGGCGCGAAAAUUGCCCAAUCCUGAUUCAGGGAGGCAGUGACAAGAAAUAACAACUCUCAACAUUGUUGAGAAGUGUAAUGAGGAUAAUUUACAAACCUUACCGAAAGCAAUUGGAGGGCAAGUCUUGGGCCAGCAGCCGCGGUAAUUCCAGCUCCAAAAGCGUAUAUUAAAGUUGUUGCAGUUAAAAAGCUCGUAGUUGAAGUUCUGGCUGUAUUGGGCCUUUGCACUUGAUGCGAAGGAACCAGCAGUCAUCCGCUUGCAAAUACAAACCUUCCUUAACUGGUAGGCUGUAUAAGCAAGCACUUUACCUUGAGAAAAACAGAGUGUUCCAGACAGGUUUGUCCGGAAUGCGUUAGCAUGGAAUAAUAGAAUAUGACUGAAGUCGAUUUAUUGGUUUAAGGCUUUAGUAAUGAUUAAUAGGAACAAUCGGGGGCAUUGGUACUUGUCAGUCAGAGGUGAAAUUCUAGGAUUUGACAAAGACUAACUGAUGCGAAAGCGUUUGCCAAGAAUGUUUUCAUUAAUCAAGAACGAAAGUUAGGGGAUC
RNAcentral lists this ribosomal RNA (634 nucleotides) under uncultured eukaryote. RNAcentral's name for it is "SSU rRNA". It matches the Rfam family "Eukaryotic small subunit ribosomal RNA", at positions 341 to 999 of the family's 1831-position model. The record is from RNAcentral.